RNAcentral lists this unclassified non-coding RNA (772 nucleotides) under uncultured Termite group 1 bacterium. RNAcentral describes it as "partial contains 16S rRNA, ITS1, tRNA-Ile, ITS2, tRNA-Ala, ITS3 and 23S rRNA". The stretch from base 362 to 434 matches the Rfam family "tRNA". The record is from RNAcentral. Lineage: Bacteria; Pseudomonadati; Elusimicrobiota.
GUGAUUGGGGUGAAGUCGUAACAAGGUAGCCGUACGAGAACGUGCGGCUGGAUCACCUCCUUUUUAAGGAGUAAACAUGCGUUUUAAGUAAACUUAAAAUGAGAUGUUAAUGGUCGAUUCUUGGAUUGUAUAGUGUUUGAAUCGAAUUCAGCGGGGCGUUUAUUUGUGUGUUAUUGAAGCUAUUUUAUGCGUCGGUGACUAUAUCUUAAAGGGCGUGAGUUGUAUAAACGGGCCUAUAGCUCAGUUAGUCAGAGCGCACCCCUGAUAAGGGUGAGGUCUGUGGUGCAACUCCACAUAGGCCCACUAACUGAUGCGUAGUGUCAAUACAAGGCGGUGUGCGGCAGGUUGCAGAAGAGGGGGGGGGGAUAUAGCUCAGCUGGGAGAGCGCCUGCUUUGCAAGCAGGAGGUCGUCGGUUCAAAUCCGUCUAUCUCCAUAAAAGAUUAUUUCAGAUAUUAGUAUCUGUGAAUAUACAAUAAAUUGCUAAGUAUUUUGUGUUCUGAUGCUUUUGCAUGGUGGUAAAAUGAUAAAAAAUGUUUUUUUCUUUUUUUUGUCAUUCUCCGGAUAUCUUAACCGGCAAUCUUAUUAAUUGAAGUAAGCCGUGCAAAGGAAUCAUAAAUGCAAAGGAUUAAGCAAUAAGCUCAUUGAAAACUUAAUAGUUGUAAAGGUAAAUCAAGCGUCUUCAAAUUAAUUUUUGAAAAUAGAAGUAGAAGUUGUAAAGUCAUAUUUAAGGUUUUGGAAGAAACGGAUUAGAUAAUGUGACCAAGCUAAUAA